GAAGACAAAGAAAAUGGUAGAGAAGUAUGAGACAAAAGGCCAUGUAACGACCCAGUAUUAUGUGUAUAUUAUAUAUGUCCAUUUUAUUUUACUAAUGAAGCAAUAGUUAUAUAAUUUUUAUUUAUUCAUUGGAAAAUUAGGAAUAGGGACGUGACCGGCUUAAAUGCUUCUUGCUACACUAUUAUUCUUAAUUAAUUUUGGGACUAUCAGUAAGUUAUGAUAAUAGAAAUGUCUAGAACAAGAAAUAGGAAAACUUUAUUGUCUUUAAAUUCUCUUAAUUCCUUUUUCUAGUCAAAGUUUAUGUAUAUUUCCUUUUGGUGUGCCACGACUAGGUGGAAGAAGUUUAAUGAAAUUGUUGCACCUCUAUUUUAAUAAUUAAUUUAUUGUUUAGUUUUGACUUAACUUUACAUUAUUUUAUUUAUUCGAUGAUUUAUAUUAUGUGAUGAUCUAUAUUUAACCAAGAUACAUGAGAACUUAAUUAGAAUCAAUUCUUUUGAUUUCUUCCUCAUAAUAGCAUUGGACCAACUUAACUACCAUGUGUUUACUUUCGGUACACAGUGAUGCUAGUUAAUUGGCAUUUAAUUCUUUCAUAAUUUCUUGAGGCCUUAUCAUAAUUCUUUUAUAACCAUUCCUCCUUUCAUUCCCAAAGUGUUUUCACGCCUCCAUACCAUACUCACCUUAUUCAUAAACAAACAACUUUUUCGGUUCUUCUUACUCUGAACUCUUGCAAGAUCAAAAUGAAGUUUUGGAUUCUCAAUCUCUUGAUUUAUAUAAUAUUUUUUCAUUGAUCUUAGAGUCUUCUUCCAUGUUAAGGAGGUAAGGGCUUUUUCCCCAUAUGUUCGUGCUAGGAAUAAGUUUAUGUUAUGAAAUAAAUAUUAGAAUAUUUAACCAUUAAAAAGGUAAUGUUAUGUUUUGUGUUUGAGUUGUUCUUUGAUGUAUGUGUGUGAUUGACUAUGAUUGAGAGGUUCUGUGAUUUAUGUGUGUGAUUGACUGUGAAAUGGAAUAGUGUGUUAGUUUUGAUUCAAGUACUCUAGCACAAUAAAUUAUUGUUAGUUAGUUUGAAGAUAUGUAUCAUAUUUUGAGACAUCCAUCAUGUAGUAUGCAUGGUAGGUGCCUCCGUGGCUGAAUUGUGCCUUCGUGGCUGAACUUUGCCUUCGUGACUGAAUUGUGCUUCCGUGGCUGAACUUUGCCUUCGUGGCUGAAUUGUGCCUUCGUGGUUGAAUUUAUCCGGAUCAUGAGUUUGCAUUUUCAUGCAUAUAAAACAUUCAUUUGUGUUAAAAGAAUUUAAUAUUUAAGUUUUUUUUAUUUCUUUUUAGGGUAAAAUGUUCUAUUAUUUGUUUUAUGACAUUUACUUUCCGUUUGGCAUGUCCCAAUUUGAAUAAGGAAAUUGACCCUUACAUUAAAUAAAUUGUUGUAGGUACCAAAGAAUGAUAAUAUGAAGUUGAUGUUUGAUUGAAGCAUACGCGGGGAAAAAAAUGAGUUUUAUUGAAUUGUAAAUGAAAUUUAAAAUAUUCUUUUUAGUGUACUAUUUUCUUCUGUUAGAAAAUAACAAAUUAUAAACAGUAAAUUUCUAUCAAUUUAUUUAAAUAGCUCGUCUUUCUAUUAGUCUGAUUUCAAUAGUUUAUUUAU
This 1629-nucleotide long non-coding RNA is filed under the name Medicago truncatula (barrel medic). Its description in RNAcentral is "long non-coding RNA (MTRU_LNC004514)". The record is from RNAcentral. Lineage: Eukaryota; Viridiplantae; Streptophyta; Magnoliopsida; Fabales; Fabaceae.